Molecule: long non-coding RNA, 231 nt
Filed under: Brachypodium distachyon (stiff brome)
Lineage: Eukaryota; Viridiplantae; Streptophyta; Magnoliopsida; Poales; Poaceae
Description: long non-coding RNA (BDIS_LNC000849)
Source: RNAcentral
AACGCACAGCUGGUGUAUAUUGCGUUGGAUGCAUUGGAGGUGAUUAAAGGAAUUAUAGGUGGCAACAAAUGCUCUCACGGUGCAAUUCUUCGCGAUAUCGGUGAGAAGUCAGGAAUUUCGAGAUGUCCGUUUUAUUCGUGAAGGGAGAAAUUUUAAUGUAGAUGCCCAUAAUUUAGUUAAAGAGUGUUUUCUCUCUUCAACCCCGUGGUUUUAUAUAGCUUUCUAGGCCUU